This 74-nucleotide ribosomal RNA is filed under the name Veillonella parvula. RNAcentral's name for it is "partial 16S ribosomal RNA". It matches the Rfam family "Bacterial small subunit ribosomal RNA", at positions 1 to 74 of the family's 1533-position model. The record is from RNAcentral. RNAcentral also lists the same sequence under 2 other names. Lineage: Bacteria; Bacillati; Bacillota; Negativicutes; Veillonellales; Veillonellaceae.
AUCUUGGAGAGUUUGAUCCUGGCUCAGGACGAACGCUGGCGGCGUGCUUAACACAUGCAAGUCGAACGAAGAGC